GACGAACGCUGGCGGCGUGCUUAACACAUGCAAGUCGAACGGAAAGGCCCUGCUUUUGUGGGGUGCUCGAGUGGCGAACGGGUGAGUAACACGUGAGUAACCUGCCCUUGACUUUGGGAUAACUUCAGGAAACUGGGGCUAAUACCGGAUAGGAGCUCCUGCUGCAUGGUGGGGGUUGGAAAGUUUCGGCGGUUGGGGAUGGACUCGCGGCUUAUCAGCUUGUUGGUGGGGUAGUGGCUUACCAAGGCUUUGACGGGUAGCCGGCCUGAGAGGGUGACCGGCCCCAUUGGGACUGCGAUACGGCCCAGACUCCGACGGGGGGCAGCAGUGGGGAAUAUUGCACAAUGGGCGGAAGCCUGAUGCAGCAACGCCGCGUGCGGGAUGACGGCCUUCGGGUUGUAAACCGCUUUCGCCUGUGACGAAGCGUGAGUGACGGUAAUGGGUAAAGAAGCCCCGGCUAACUACGUG
RNAcentral lists this ribosomal RNA (468 nucleotides) under uncultured bacterium. RNAcentral's name for it is "partial 16S ribosomal RNA". It matches the Rfam family "Bacterial small subunit ribosomal RNA", at positions 28 to 507 of the family's 1533-position model. The record is from RNAcentral.